UACGGAGGGUGCGAGCGUUGUCCGGAAUCACUGGGCGUAAAGGGCGCGUAGGCGGCCUGAUAAGUAGGGGGUGAAAUCCUGCGGCUUAACCGCAGGGCUGCCUUCUAAACUGUCAGGCUAGAGCACAGUAGAGGCAGGUGGAAUUCCUGGUGUAGCGGUGAAAUGCGCAGAUAUCAGGAGGAACACCGGUGGCGAAGGCGGGUCUCUGGGCCGUAACUGACGCUGAGGAGCGAAAGCGUGGGGAGCGAACAGG
RNAcentral lists this ribosomal RNA (253 nucleotides) under uncultured bacterium. RNAcentral describes it as "partial 16S ribosomal RNA". It matches the Rfam family "Bacterial small subunit ribosomal RNA", at positions 524 to 776 of the family's 1533-position model. The record is from RNAcentral.